AACGAACGCUGGCGGCAUGCCUAACACAUGCAAGUCGAACGAUACCUUCGGGUAUAGUGGCGCACGGGUGAGUAACGCGUGGGAAUCUACCCAUUGGUCUGGAAUAACGUUGGGAAACUGACGCUAAUACCGGAUAUUCCCUUCGGGGGAAAGAUUUAUUGCCAAUGGAUGAGCCCGCGUCAGAUUAGUUAGUUGGUGGGGUAAUGGCUUACCAAGACGACGAUCUGUAGCUGGUCUGAGAGGACGAUCAGCCACACUGGGACUGAGACACGGCCCAGACUCCUACGGGAGGCAGCAGUGGGGAAUAUUGGACAAUGGGGGCAACCCUGAUCCAGCAAUGCCGCGUGAAUGAUGAAGGCCUUAGGGUUGUAAAGUUCUUUCGCACACGACGAUGAUGACGGUAGUGUGAGAAGAAGCCCCGGCAAACUUCGUGCCAGCAGCCGCCGUAACAC
RNAcentral lists this ribosomal RNA (452 nucleotides) under uncultured bacterium. Its description in RNAcentral is "bacterial SSU rRNA". It matches the Rfam family "Bacterial small subunit ribosomal RNA", at positions 29 to 526 of the family's 1533-position model. The record is from RNAcentral.